UGGCGAACGGGUGAGUAACACGUGGGCAAUCUGCCCUUCACUCUGGGACAAGCCCUGGAAACGGGGUCUAAUACCGGAUAUGAGCCUGGGAGGCAUCUCCCGGGUUGUAAAGCUCCGGCGGUGAAGGAUGAGCCCGCGGCCUAUCAGCUUGUUGGUGAGGUAACGGCUCACCAAGGCGACGACGGGUAGCCGGCCUGAGAGGGCGACCGGCCACACUGGGACUGAGACACGGCCCAGACUCCUACGGGAGGCAGCAGUGGGGAAUAUUGCACAAUGGGCGCAAGCCUGAUGCAGCGACGCCGCGUGAGGGAUGACGGCCUUCGGGUUGUAAACCUCUUUCAGCAGGGAAGAAGCGCAAGUGACGGUACCUGCAGAAGAAGCGCCGGCUAACUACGUGCCAGCAGCCGCGGUAAUACGUAGGGCGCAAGCGUUGUCCGGAAUUAUUGGGCGUAAAGAGCUCGUAGGCGGCUUGUCACGUCGGGUGUGAAAGCCCGGGGCUUAACCCCGGGUCUGCAUUCGAUACGGGCUGGCUAGAGUGUGGUAGGGGAGAUCGGAAUUCCUGGUGUAGCGGUGAAAUGCGCAGAUAUCAGGAGGAACACCGGUGGCGAAGGCGGAUCUCUGGGCCAUUACUGACGCUGAGGAGCGAAAGCGUGGGGAGCGAACAGGAUUAGAUACC
RNAcentral lists this ribosomal RNA (676 nucleotides) under Streptomyces longisporus. RNAcentral describes it as "bacterial SSU rRNA". It matches the Rfam family "Bacterial small subunit ribosomal RNA", at positions 96 to 786 of the family's 1533-position model. Lineage: Bacteria; Bacillati; Actinomycetota; Actinomycetes; Kitasatosporales; Streptomycetaceae. The record is from RNAcentral.